AUUACUCAUGUUUUUACUUAUGGUAUUACUCAUGGUAUUACUCAUGGCAUUACUUAUGGUAUUACUUAUGGUAUUACUCAUGUUAUUACUUAUGGUAUUACUCAUGGUAUUACUCAUGGCAUUACUCAUGACAUUACUUAUGGCAUUACUUAUGCCAUUACUUAUGGUAUUACUUAUGGUAUUACUCAUGGUAUUACUCAUGUAUUACUUAUGGUAUUACUCAUGGUAUUACUCAUGGUAUUACUCAUGUAUUACUUAUGGUAUUACUCAUGGCAUUACUUAUGGUAUUACUUAUGGUAUUACUCAUGGCAUUACUCAUGGUAUUACUUAUGGUAUUACUUAUGGUAUUACUCAUGGCAUUACUCAUGGUAUUACUUAUGGUAUUACUUAUGGCAUUACUUAUGGUAUUACUCAUGGCAUUACUCAUGGCAUUACUCAUGGUAUUACUUAUGGUAUUACUUAUGGUAUUACUUAUGGCAUUACUCAUGGUAUUACUCAUGUAUUACUUAUGGUAUUACUCAUGUUAUUACUUAUGGUAUUACUCAUGGCAUUACUCAUGGCAUUACUUAUGGUAUUACUUAUGAUAUUACUCAUGGCAUUACUUAUGGUAUUACUCAUGGUAUUACUUAUGGUAUUACUUAUGGCAUUACUCAUGGUAUUACUCAUGUAUUACUUAUGGUAUUACUCAUGGUAUUACUUAUGGUAUUACUUAUGGCAUUACUCAUGGUAUUACUCAUGUAUUACUUAUGGCAUUACUCAUGGUAUUACUCAUGUAUUACUUAUGGUAUUACUCAUGUUAUUACUCAUGUAUUACUUAUGGUAUUACUCAUGGCAUUACUUAUGUUAUUACUCAUGGCAUUACUCAUGGCAUUACUUAUGGUAUUACUCAUGGCAUUACUCAUGGUAUUACUCAUGGUAUUACUUAUGGUAUUACUUAUGGUAUUUUUGUAGUUUGGCUUUCUUGAAGAAACAUUUCUUUCUUGAUUCUUGUUGUUCUGAGUUUGGACUCAUGGUUGAAUUCACUUAUUG
Molecule: long non-coding RNA, 1029 nt
Filed under: Cyclopterus lumpus (lumpfish)
Lineage: Eukaryota; Metazoa; Chordata; Actinopteri; Perciformes; Cyclopteridae
Description: lncRNA (ENSCLMG00005007550.1)
Source: RNAcentral